This is a long non-coding RNA of Prionailurus viverrinus (fishing cat), 467 nucleotides long. RefSeq lists it as uncharacterized. NCBI's taxonomy places the organism in Eukaryota, Metazoa, Chordata, Mammalia, Carnivora, Felidae. The transcript is spliced from 3 exons. The record is from RefSeq and is a predicted model, not a curated record.
UGCGAUGUGAGUCUGCAAACAAAGCAAGUCACGAGUUCUCUUACCAUGAAGACCCCCCCCACCCCCGCCAGCCUCCCACCUACGGGCAUCAAAAAGUUAAAUCUUCAUUUUGGAGGUCAGACAAGUUUGUGGAACUUUGAGUUGUUACGUCAAAUCCACUUGAAACUCCCAGCGACCUCUGCAAUUAUCAUCACGAGAACUUCUCAUUCUGACACUUACGAGCUUCAUUUAAAAGCUUCAAUAUUAUCUUCUUUGACAACUUGAUCCUGGAAGAAUGAGAGAUGGGAAGAGAGAAAACUUCAGUUCAUCGGCUAUGCAGUCCAGUAACUGGCUAUUCUCAAACUGUAAUUUUGUGACCACAGGUAUAAAGUUUCGGAAAUUUUAUUACAUGCAAUUCACCUGCUUCACAAUGUUUUCUAAGGAUUUGAAAGUGUCUUGUCUAAACAUUGUAAUGUGAGCAUUUCAGU